CCUGGAGAUCUGAGGGG
Molecule: unclassified non-coding RNA, 17 nt
Filed under: Mus musculus (house mouse)
Lineage: Eukaryota; Metazoa; Chordata; Mammalia; Rodentia; Muridae
Description: oocyte_clustered_small_RNA1827
Source: RNAcentral